Molecule: ribosomal RNA, 229 nt
Filed under: uncultured bacterium
Lineage: Bacteria
Description: partial 16S ribosomal RNA
Rfam family: Bacterial small subunit ribosomal RNA
Source: RNAcentral
CGGGGUGAGUAAUGUCUGGGAAACUGCCUGAUGGAGGGGGAUAACUACUGGAAACGGUAGCUAAUACCGCAUAACGUCGCGAGACCAAAGUGGGGGACCUUCGGGCCUCAUGCCAUAAGAUGUGCCCAGAUGGGAUUAGCUAGUAGGUGGGGUAACGGCUCACCUAGGCGACGAUCCCUAGCUGGUCUGAGAGGAUGACCAGCCACACUGGAACUGAGACACGGUCCAG